Molecule: long non-coding RNA, 935 nt
Organism: Cyprinus carpio (common carp)
Lineage: Eukaryota; Metazoa; Chordata; Actinopteri; Cypriniformes; Cyprinidae
Source: Ensembl
GUCCCCACCUUUCUGCCACAAUACCCUAACUACAGUUUAUGUGACUACAGUUAAUCCUUAGUGGAUUAAACUGGAUGUUUUCUGCAGUGUUUUUCCUGUUUCACACUUCAGGGAUGUUGAGAAUGUCAGCGCUGUUUCAUCUGGAUUGAAUCAGUAGUUUGUGUCGAAUGGCUCGUGCUGGAUCUCACAGCUGUGUUUAAUCUGUGAUUGCUCUUUCUUCCGGUGCAGAGGAGCGCGUGUGAUUUCGUUCCGCUUUUGGAGUUUGGACACUUCUCAUGCACAAUAGAAAUAAAUGGCAGCACUUGUGUGGCUCCCGUGCGACCGAUAACAAACUUCAGUCUCACCGGCAGAAAAAAAAAAAGAAAAAAAAAAACAUUUGCAAAAUAUGAGCGAAUAGUCUGGAUCCCUGCCACUUCAGAGAACCUGUCAGACUUGUUGAGCGUAGCUUUCUUAGCAAAACAAAAGGCAGGACACAGCUACUUUUAAAGCGUUUUCUAAACUAACUGAUCAUCAGCAAAAACGACUUGUCUUUAUGUUCUUAGUUUUGUUUAUACGGGUAACUUGAGUAAAAGAUAUUUAAAGUUAGGCUACAUUUGGUUUUAGGUUGCAUGAUGAAAUUAACCAAGACGAAAACAAACUCGCUCCUCACACUGAUUCUGCUGUUUCACACCAUGUCUGAGCAAGCAGGAGCUUCUCAUGAUGAUGAUGAUGACGAGGUGAGGAUCCUGAUGGUGGGAAUCCGAGGUCAGUCCAGAUUCAGUGCUGCAGAUCUUCUGUCAGGAAGGAAAGACGGUGGACAGGAGGACAGAGAGAUUGUAAAGACUCCAGUAAUUACAGACGAGGCUCGUAGAAUGAUGCUGAUCACUGGACCGAACCUCUGUGAGGAGGACACAGCGAGACAGACCUUCAUAACAGCGCUGUUUCUCUCGUCUCCU